Molecule: unclassified non-coding RNA, 242 nt
Filed under: fungal sp.
Lineage: Eukaryota; Fungi
Description: partial contains small subunit ribosomal RNA and internal#transcribed spacer 1
Source: RNAcentral
CUAUGUAGUGCAGGAACCGGCAUCACAUAAGGGCAAAUGGACUCAGGUGUUCCCGAAAGACCAGCCGCUUCAUAUCGAAGUUGGUAUGGGAAAAGGCCGCUUUCUUAUGGAUAUGGCGAAGCUUCAUCCGGAGAUCAAUUAUGUAGGGAUCGAGAUGUAUGACAGUGUGCUUCUCCGUGCACUCCAGAAGAGAGAGAGACUGGAGGAAGAAGGAGAGAAGCUUACAAAUCUGAUGUUCAUGU